CGCGUCUGAUUGACAGAUCUGGAGCAGUACAGUCUGCUGUUGGAUUUGCUCCACAGAUGCAAGGAAAGGAUGUCCUUGUGCUUUCUGUCUGCCUGACUGUGGCAACCAAGACUGAAUUAUGAAUGAAUACA
Molecule: small nucleolar RNA, 131 nt
Organism: Oryctolagus cuniculus (rabbit)
Lineage: Eukaryota; Metazoa; Chordata; Mammalia; Lagomorpha; Leporidae
Source: Ensembl